AUUGAACGCUGGCGGCAGGCCUAACACAUGCAAGUCGAGCGGAUGAAGGGAGUUUGCUCCUGGAUUCAGCGGCGGACGGGUGAGUAAUGCCUAGGAAUCUGCCUGGUAGUGGGGGAUAACGCCCGGAAACGGGCGCUAAUACCGCAUACGUCCUGAGGGAGAAAGUGGGGGAUCUUCGGACCUCACGCUAUCAGAUGAGCCUAGGUCGGAUUAGCUAGUUGGUGGGGUAAAGGCCUACCAAGGCGACGAUCCGUAACUGGUCUGAGAGGAUGAUCAGUCACACUGGAACUGAGACACGGUCCAGACUCCUACGGGAGGCAGCAGUGGGGAAUAUUGGACAAUGGGCGAAAGCCUGAUCCAGCCAUGCCGCGUGUGUGAAGAAGGUCUUCGGAUUGUAAAGCACUUUAAGUUUGGAGGAAGGGCAGUAAGUUAAUACCUUGCUGUUUUGACGUUACCAACAGAAUAAGCACCGGCUAACUUCGUG
This 484-nucleotide ribosomal RNA is filed under the name uncultured bacterium. Its description in RNAcentral is "partial 16S ribosomal RNA". It matches the Rfam family "Bacterial small subunit ribosomal RNA", at positions 30 to 507 of the family's 1533-position model. The record is from RNAcentral.